GACGUAGGGGGCGAGCGUUAUUCGGAAUCAUUGGGCGUAAAGCGCACGUAGGCGGCCUGUUAAGUCGGAUGUGAAAGCCCUGGGCUCAACCCAGGAAGUGCAUUCGAAACUGGCAGGCUUGAGUAUGGAAGAGGGUUGCGGAAUUCCCGGUGUAGAGGUGAAAUGCGUAGAGACCCGGAGGAACACCAGUGGCGAAGGCGGCUUCCUGGUCUGCAACUGACGCUGUGGCGCGAAAGCUAGGGGAGCGAACGGG
Molecule: ribosomal RNA, 253 nt
Filed under: uncultured prokaryote
Description: partial 16S ribosomal RNA
Rfam family: Bacterial small subunit ribosomal RNA
Source: RNAcentral